Molecule: transfer RNA, 75 nt
Filed under: Escherichia coli
Lineage: Bacteria; Pseudomonadati; Pseudomonadota; Gammaproteobacteria; Enterobacterales; Enterobacteriaceae
Also listed under: 6 other names
Description: tRNA-Gly
Rfam family: tRNA
About the family: Transfer RNA (tRNA) molecules are approximately 80 nucleotides in length. Their secondary structure includes four short double-helical elements and three loops (D, anti-codon, and T loops).
Source: RNAcentral
GCGGGCAUCGUAUAAUGGCUAUUACCUCAGCCUUCCAAGCUGAUGAUGCGGGUUCGAUUCCCGCUGCACGCUCCA